RNAcentral lists this long non-coding RNA (201 nucleotides) under Manihot esculenta (cassava). RNAcentral's name for it is "long non-coding RNA (MESC_LNC003799)". The record is from RNAcentral. Lineage: Eukaryota; Viridiplantae; Streptophyta; Magnoliopsida; Malpighiales; Euphorbiaceae.
UCUGGACUUGAAGAGCAAAAGCCUUCCCAAGGUAACAGCAUGUCUAAAGGUCUCAAAGGAGAACAAAUUAAGAACAGCAGAUUGCAAACUUAGUCAAAAAUCCAGCCACAAAGUCAGAUUCCUUACUAGAAGCCGACCUUGCUUGGCCAAGUUCGUAACCAGAAUUAUUGGUCUAUCUAAGAAUAUAGAGGACAACAAUGU